Molecule: long non-coding RNA, 554 nt
Organism: Syngnathoides biaculeatus (alligator pipefish)
Lineage: Eukaryota; Metazoa; Chordata; Actinopteri; Syngnathiformes; Syngnathidae
Exons: 3
Source: RefSeq, a predicted model, not a curated record
CUUUCAUAUCAGAAAAGAGGAACCAGUCUGUUGCAAAUGUGAGUUUAAGACAAACGCACAACUUUGCUCACGAUUCUCGACUUUGGCGUCUCGAGCGGUCAUGAUGGUGAACAACACUUGUGUCCCUGUAAACGGCACCGCAUGUGUUGCCCCUAAUUCUCCCGUAGGUCUCGCGGUGGGCCUGACGCUCUUGUUUCUGAUGCUGGUUGCCAUCGCUGUUACGGUCAUGGUCAAACUCUGGAAGAAGAAAUGGAGUCAGACACUAUCUGGUCAAAGAAAAAGCCAAAAGAAGGACUCUCCGGCGACUCCCCAGUGGGACCAUCAGUAUACCAGCAUGGUCACAACAAAGUCAACCAAGAAUGCCCCCAUCUAUGAAAACUUGAGGAGUCAGAAAAGCUGCGCCGGCCCUCAGAGCAGGCCACCUUGUGAACCCGCCGAGGAUUUGUACUUGCAGUGCGUUUUAGCCGAUGAUGCAAUAUACAGCAACGAUCCUGCGUGUAACCUCUCCAUUCUCCCGGACUCCCGAGAUGACGACAUCUAUAUUGUUCCACAAU